UAAAACUCACAUUGUGACCCUCAGACUUGG
RNAcentral lists this non-coding RNA (30 nucleotides) under Mus musculus (house mouse). Lineage: Eukaryota; Metazoa; Chordata; Mammalia; Rodentia; Muridae. The record is from RNAcentral.